CCCCCGUCGGUUUUGUUACCGGCGGCGGGUUGGACAUGGGUGCCUGCCUACCCUGGCUCACCUGAAAGAACUCAGUGAGACGAGCCCUCGGUGAGACGUAAUAAGAUUCCGUCUUCUUCUGGGGGAGAGCCUUGCCACCAACCCACCAUAACACCUUCAUCUCUGACCUCAAAUCAGGUAGGGCUACCCGCUGAACUUAA
Molecule: unclassified non-coding RNA, 200 nt
Filed under: soil metagenome
Description: partial contains internal transcribed spacer 2 and large subunit ribosomal RNA
Source: RNAcentral